Molecule: ribosomal RNA, 445 nt
Filed under: uncultured bacterium
Lineage: Bacteria
Description: partial 16S ribosomal RNA
Rfam family: Bacterial small subunit ribosomal RNA
Source: RNAcentral
GUGAGGAAUAUUGGACAAUGGGCGCAAGCCUGAUCCAGCCAUGCCGCGUGCAGGAAGACGCAUCUAUGGUGUGUAAACUGCUUUUGUACGGGAAGAAACACUCUCUCGUGAGGGAGCUUGACGGUACCGUAAGAAUAAGGAUCGGCUAACUCCGUGCCAGCAGCCGCGGUAAUACGGAGGAUCCAAGCGUUAUCCGGAAUCAUUGGGUUUAAAGGGUCCGUAGGCGGUUUAAUAAGUCAGUGGUGAAAGCCCAUCGCUCAACGAUGGAACGGCCAUUGAUACUGUUAGACUUGAAUUACAAGGAAGUAACUAGAAUAUGUAGUGUAGCGGUGAAAUGCUUAGAUAUUACAUGGAAUACCAAUUGCGAAGGCAGGUUACUACUUGUGGAUUGACGCUGAUGGACGAAAGCGUGGGGAGCGAACAGGAUUAGAAACCCGAGUAGUCC